RNAcentral lists this ribosomal RNA (559 nucleotides) under uncultured bacterium. Its description in RNAcentral is "partial 16S ribosomal RNA". It matches the Rfam family "Bacterial small subunit ribosomal RNA", at positions 355 to 932 of the family's 1533-position model. The record is from RNAcentral.
UGGGGAAUAUUGCACAAUGGGCGAAAGCCUGAUGCAGCAACGCCGCGUGAGUGAUGAAGGCCUUCGGGUUGUAAAGCUCUGUCUUUUGGGACGAUAAUGACGGUACCAAAGGAGGAAGCCACGGCUAACUACGUGCCAGCAGCCGCGGUAAUACGUAGGUGGCAAGCGUUGUCCGGAUUUACUGGGCGUAAAGGAUGCGUAGGCGGAUUUUUAAGUGAGAUGUGAAAACCCUAAGCUUAACUUGGGGACUGCAUUUCAUACUGGAAAAUCUAGAGUGCGGGAGAGGAGAAUGGAAUUCCUAGUGUAGCGGUGAAAUGCGUAGAGAUUAGGAAGAACACCAGUGGCGAAGGCGAUUCUCUGGACCGUAACUGACGCUGAGGCAUGAAAGCGUGGGUAGCAAACAGGAUUAGAUACCCUGGUAGUCCACGCCGUAAACGAUGAGUACUAGGUGUAGGAGGUAUCGACCCCCUUCUGUGCCGCAGUUAACACAAUAAGUACUCCGCCUGGGAAGUACGAUCGCAAGAUUAAAAACUCAAAUGAAUUGACGGGGUCAUAGCUG